GUGCUCGCUUUGGCAGCACAUAUACUAAAAUUAGAACUAUAGAGAAGAAGAGCCUGGCCCCUGUGCAAGGAUGACAUGAAAAUUUGUGGACCAAAAAAAAAAAAA
Pteropus alecto (black flying fox) is the source of this 105-nucleotide non-coding RNA. The record is from Rfam. Lineage: Eukaryota; Metazoa; Chordata; Mammalia; Chiroptera; Pteropodidae.